RNAcentral lists this ribosomal RNA (494 nucleotides) under uncultured bacterium. RNAcentral describes it as "bacterial SSU rRNA". It matches the Rfam family "Bacterial small subunit ribosomal RNA", at positions 29 to 509 of the family's 1533-position model. The record is from RNAcentral.
AACGAACGCUGGCGGCGCGUCUUAAGCAUGCAAGUCGAACGGCAUGAGGAAGCUUGCUUCCUCAGAGAGUGGCGGACUGGUGAGUAACACGUGGGUGACCUACCCUUGAGAUGGGGAUAGCCAUUAGAAAUAGUGGAUAAUACCGAAUACGCUCUACGGACUCUGGUUUGUAGAGGAAACAGGCUACGGCCUGGCUCGAGGAUGGGCCCGCGUCCCAUUAGCUAGUUGGUGAGGUAAGAGCCCACCAAGGCGACGAUGGGUAUCCGGCCUGAGAGGGUGUACGGACACAUUGGGACUGAGAUACGGCCCAAACUCCUACGGGAGGCAGCAGCUAAGAAUAUUCCGCAAUGGACGAAAGUCUGACGGAGCGACGCCGCGUGGGAUGACGAAGGCCGAAAGGUUGUAAAAUCCUUUUGCUGAUGAAGAAUAAGCGUGGUAGGGAAUGACCGCGUGAUGACAUUAGUCGGUGAAUAAGCCCCGGCUAACUACGUGCC